This 465-nucleotide ribosomal RNA is filed under the name Vreelandella stevensii. RNAcentral's name for it is "partial 16S ribosomal RNA". It matches the Rfam family "Bacterial small subunit ribosomal RNA", at positions 338 to 795 of the family's 1533-position model. Lineage: Bacteria; Pseudomonadati; Pseudomonadota; Gammaproteobacteria; Oceanospirillales; Halomonadaceae. The record is from RNAcentral.
CCUACGGGUGGCAGCAGUGGGGAAUAUUGGACAAUGGGGGCAACCCUGAUCCAGCCAUGCCGCGUGUGUGAAGAAGGCCCUCGGGUUGGAAAGCACUUUCAGUGAGGAAGAACGCCUGGUGGUUAAUACCCAUCAGGAAAGACAUCACUCACAGAAGAAGCACCGGCUAACUCCGUGCCAGCAGCCGCGGUAAUACGGAGGGUGCGAGCGUUAAUCGGAAUUACUGGGCGUAAAGCGCGCGUAGGUGGCUUGAUAAGCCGGUUGUGAAAGCCCCGGGCUCAACCUGGGAACGGCAUCCGGAACUGUCAAGCUAGAGUGCAGGAGAGGAAGGUAGAAUUCCCGGUGUAGCGGUGAAAUGCGUAGAGAUUGGGAGGAAUACCAGUGGCGAAGGCGGCCUUCUGGACUGACACUGACACUGAGGUGCGAAAGCGUGGGUAGCAAACAGGAUUAGAUACCCCAGUAGUC